This 497-nucleotide ribosomal RNA is filed under the name uncultured bacterium. RNAcentral's name for it is "partial 16S ribosomal RNA". It matches the Rfam family "Bacterial small subunit ribosomal RNA", at positions 28 to 507 of the family's 1533-position model. The record is from RNAcentral.
GACGAACGCUGGCGGCGUGCCUAAUACAUGCAAGUAGAACGCUGAAGAGAGGAGCUUGCUCUUCUUGGAUGAGUUGCGAACGGGUGAGUAACGCGUAGGUAACCUGCCUUGUAGCGGGGGAUAACUAUUGGAAACGAUAGCUAAUACCGCAUAACAAUGGAUGACACAUGUCAUUUAUUUGAAAGGGGCAAUUGCUCCACUACAAGAUGGACCUGCGUUGUAUUAGCUAGUAGGUGAGGUAACGGCUCACCUAGGCGACGAUACAUAGCCGACCUGAGAGGGUGAUCGGCCACACUGGGACUGAGACACGGCCCAGACUCCUACGGGAGGCAGCAGUAGGGAAUCUUCGGCAAUGGGGGCAACCCUGACCGAGCAACGCCGCGCGAGUGAAGAAGGUUUUCGGAUCGUAAAGCUCUGUUGUAAGUCAAGAACGAGUGUGAGAGUGGAAAGUUCACACUGUGACGGUAGCUUACCAGAAAGGGACGGCUAACUACGUG